This 482-nucleotide ribosomal RNA is filed under the name uncultured bacterium. Its description in RNAcentral is "partial 16S ribosomal RNA". It matches the Rfam family "Bacterial small subunit ribosomal RNA", at positions 28 to 507 of the family's 1533-position model. The record is from RNAcentral.
GUUGAACGCUGGCGGCAUGCUUUACACAUGCAAGUCGAACGAUAACAGGCCGCAAGGUGCUCUCGAGCGGUGAACGGGUGCGUAAUGCUUCGGCAUGUGCCACGUCCCUAUAGGUAACUACUCGCUUGAGUAGCCAAUACCUCAUACGAUCUAUUGUUUACAACGGCAGACCGCAAUGCUUCAAGAGAUUUGUGCUGCCGCUGUCAGAUUAGGUAGUUGGUCAGGUAAAGGCUCACCAAGUCAACGCUCUGUAGCUGGUCUGAGAGGACGACCAGCCACACUGGGACUGAGACACGGCCCAGACUCCUACGGGAGGCAGCAGUGGGGAAUUUUGGACAAUGGGCGCAAGCCUGAUCCAGCAAUGCCGCGUGCAGGAAGAAGGCCUUCGGGUUGUAAACUUCUGUUGUACGGGACGAAACAGCUCGUGUGAAAACCCGGAGGUAUUGACGGUACCGUAAGAAAAAGCACCGGCUAACUACGUG